Molecule: ribosomal RNA, 253 nt
Filed under: uncultured bacterium
Lineage: Bacteria
Description: partial 16S ribosomal RNA
Rfam family: Bacterial small subunit ribosomal RNA
Source: RNAcentral
UACGUAGGUGGCAAGCGUUGUCCGGAUUUACUGGGAGUAAAGGAUGCGUAGGCGGACAUUUAAGUCAGAUGUGAAAGCCCCGGGCUUAACCCGGGAAGUGCAUUCGAUACUGCGUGGCUUGAGUAUCGGAGAGGUUGGUGGAAUUCUCGGUGUAGAGGUGAAAUUCGUAGAUAUCGAGAGGAACACCGGUGGCGAAGGCGGCCAACUGGACGAAUACUGACGCUGAGACACGAAAGCGUGGGGAGCAAACAGG